Molecule: ribosomal RNA, 520 nt
Filed under: uncultured Entrophospora
Lineage: Eukaryota; Fungi; Glomeromycota; Glomeromycetes; Entrophosporales; Entrophosporaceae
Description: SSU rRNA
Rfam family: Eukaryotic small subunit ribosomal RNA
Source: RNAcentral
AGCAGCCGCGGUAAUUCCAGCUCCAAUAGCGUAUAUUAAAGUUGUUGCAGUUAAAAAGCUCGUAGUUGAAUUUCGGGAUUGGCGCAUCGGUCGUGCCUCACGGGGUAUGAACUGGUGCAGUCAAUUUCUCACCUUCUGGAGAACCGCGAUGUCCUUAAUUGGAUGCCGCGGGGAACCAGGACCUUUACUUUGAAAAAAUUGAGUGUUUAAAGCAGGCAUUUUUGCUUGAAUACAUUAGCAUGGAAUAAUAAAAUAGGACGGCAUGGUUCUAUUUUGUUGGUUUCUAGGACCACCGUAAUGAUUAAUAGGGAUAGUUGGGGCAUUAGUAUUCAAUUGUCAGAGGUGAAAUUCUUGGAUUUAUUGAAGACUUAACUACUGCGAAAGCAUUUGCCAAGGAUGUUCUCAUUAAUCAAGAACGAAAGUUAGGGAUCGAAGACGAUCAGAUACCGUCGUAGCCUUAACCAUAAACUAUAGACCGACUAGGAAUCAGACGAUGUUAAUUUUUAUGUACUCGUUGCAC